RNAcentral lists this ribosomal RNA (373 nucleotides) under uncultured bacterium. RNAcentral describes it as "bacterial SSU rRNA". It matches the Rfam family "Bacterial small subunit ribosomal RNA", at positions 521 to 896 of the family's 1533-position model. The record is from RNAcentral.
UAAUACGGAGGGUGCAAGCGUUAUCCGGAUUUACUGGGUUUAAAGGGUGUGUAGGCGGGCUUUUAAGUCUGGGGUGAAAUCUCCGAGCUCAACUCGGAAACUGCCUUGGAUACUAUUAGUCUUGAAUUAUGUUGAGGUUGGCGGAAUAUAACAUGUAGCGGUGAAAUGCAUAGAUAUGUUAUAGAACACCGAUUGCGAAGGCAGCUAACUAAGCAUAUAUUGACGCUGAGGCACGAAAGCGUGGGGAUCAAACAGGAUUAGAUACCCUGGUAGUCCACGCCCUAAACGAUGAUUACUCGUCAUUGGCGAUACACAGCCAGUGACCAAGCGAAAGCGUUAAGUAAUCCACCUGGGAAGUACGUCCGCAAGGAUG